RNAcentral lists this non-coding RNA (737 nucleotides) under Iolania perkinsi. Lineage: Eukaryota; Metazoa; Arthropoda; Insecta; Hemiptera; Cixiidae. The record is from RNAcentral.
CCCGAAUUUAAUUCUAGUUUAUUAAAUAGUUAUUGAAUUAUAAUAUAUGUAAAUUUUUAUUAGUAUUUUUAGUCUUAAAGAUUUUUAUUUAUUUUCAGUAUUAAAUAUUUUUGUUUAAUUUAAGUUAAAAAAGUUAUUUUUUAUAGAUGAGAUUAAUAAUGUGCCAGCAUUCGCGGUUAUACAUUUUUAUCAAAUUAUUUAUUUUUGGUUAAAGUUUUAUAAUUUUUUUUAUUUAAAUUUAUUAAUUUAGGUGAAAUUUAUUUUUAAUUUUUGUUUUUUUAUGUCUUUAAAAUCUGUUUUUAAACUAGGAUUAGAUACCCUAUUAUUUCAGUUUAAUUUAAUUAACCUUGGGAUUGAUAAAUUUAAAAUAAAAGGAUUUGGCGGUUUUUUAAUCUUUUUAGAGGAACCUGUUUAUUAAAUGAUAAUCCACGAUUUUUUAUACCAUUUUUUUUUUCUUGUAUAUCUCUGUCGUUGAAUGUAGUUUAAGCUUAAUUUUCUUUUUUUUUUUAUAAUUUAUGUUAGGUCAAGGUGCAGUUAUAAAUUGGUUUAAAUGGGUUACUUUAAUAAAUUUUUGUUGAUUAAUAAUUUCUUAUUGUUUUGAAUUUGAAUUUAAUAGUAAUUUUUUUUCUUUAAUUUUUUGAAUUGAGCUCUGGAUUAUGUACAUAUCGCCCGUCACUCUCAUUAAUUGAGAUAAGUCGUAACAAAGUAGAUGUAUCGGAAGAUGUAUCUAGAAUCAG